RNAcentral lists this ribosomal RNA (484 nucleotides) under uncultured bacterium. RNAcentral's name for it is "partial 16S ribosomal RNA". It matches the Rfam family "Bacterial small subunit ribosomal RNA", at positions 30 to 507 of the family's 1533-position model. The record is from RNAcentral.
AUUGAACGCUGGCGGCAGGCCUAACACAUGCAAGUCGAGCGGAUGAAGGGAGCUUGCUCCUGGAUUCAGCGGCGGACGGGUGAGUAAUGCCUAGGAAUCUGCCUCGUAGUGGGGUAUAACGUCCUGAAACGGGCGCUAAUACCGCAUACGUCCUGCGGGAGCAAGUGGGUGAUCUUCGGACCUCACGCUAUCAGAUGAGCCUAGGUCGGAUUAGAUAGUUUGUGGGGUAAAGGCCUACCAAGGCGACGAUCCGUAACUGGUCUGAGAGGAUGAUCAGUCACACUGGAACUGAGACACGGUCCAGACUCCUACGGGAGGCAGCAGUGGGGAAUAUUGGACAAUGGGCGAAAGCCUGAUCCAGCCAUGCCGCGUGUGUGAAGAAGGUCUUCGGAUUGUAAAGCACUUUAAGUUGGGAGGAAGGGCAGUAAGUUAAUACCUUGCUGUUUUGACGGUACCAACAGAAUAAGCACCGGCUAACUUCGUG